RNAcentral lists this ribosomal RNA (394 nucleotides) under uncultured bacterium. RNAcentral describes it as "bacterial SSU rRNA". It matches the Rfam family "Bacterial small subunit ribosomal RNA", at positions 505 to 898 of the family's 1533-position model. The record is from RNAcentral.
GUGUCAGCCGCCGCGGUAAUACGUAGGGGGCGAGCGUUGUCCGGAAUUACUGGGCGUAAAGGGUGCGUAGGUGGUUGCCUAAGUCAGAUGUGAAAUCCCCGGGCUUAACUCGGGUGGUGCAUUUGAAACUGGGUAACUAGAGUGCAGGAGAGGGAAGCGGAAUUCCUAGUGUAGCGGUGAAAUGCGUAGAUAUUAGGAGGAACACCAGUGGCGAAGGCGGCUUUCUGGACUGUAACUGACACUGAGGCACGAAAGCGUGGGGAGCAAACAGGAUUAGAUACCCUGGUAGUCCACGCGGUAAACGAUGGAUACUAGGUGUAGGGGGCGUAAAGCCUUCUGUGCCGCAGCUAACGCAAUAAGUAUCCCGCCUGGGGAGUACGGCCGCAAGGUUGAA